Molecule: transfer RNA, 73 nt
Filed under: Metamycoplasma arthritidis 158L3-1
Lineage: Bacteria; Bacillati; Mycoplasmatota; Mycoplasmoidales; Metamycoplasmataceae
Description: Mycoplasma arthritidis 158L3-1 tRNA
Rfam family: tRNA
About the family: Transfer RNA (tRNA) molecules are approximately 80 nucleotides in length. Their secondary structure includes four short double-helical elements and three loops (D, anti-codon, and T loops). Further hydrogen bonds mediate the characteristic L-shaped molecular structure. tRNAs have two regions of fundamental functional importance: the anti-codon, which is responsible for specific mRNA codon recognition, and the 3' end, to which the tRNAs corresponding amino acid is attached (by aminoacyl-tRNA synthetases). tRNAs cope with the degeneracy of the genetic code in two manners: having more than one tRNA (with a specific anti-codon) for a particular amino acid; and 'wobble' base-pairing, i.e. permitting non-standard base-pairing at the 3rd anti-codon position.
Source: Rfam by way of RNAcentral
GCGUGCGUGGCGAAGUGGUUAACGCAUCGGGUUGUGGCUCCGACAUACGUGGGUUCGAUUCCCAUCGCACGCC